CUGUUUUCUUCUUGAGGACAUGAGUUACAGACUUUUUUGUCUUUUGUUUCUUCCUUGCAUUCUCUCAGUAUCUUCUGAUUUUUUUUUGUUUCUUAUUUAUUUGUUUUAUUCUUUGUUUUUCCUGUUGGAGGCUUCACUACUGGUGGCAGUCAGACAAGUUUCAACUGCUAAAGAAUUCUCAGAGUACUGGUAACUAUAAUGCUUAGGAAUCUACAGGUUAUUGCAAGAAAAGAAUGCAAAAUAGCAGCAGCAUUGAAAUAAAAGAAAUGCAUCUCAACCAAAGAUCUGCCUCACAGCAUAGAUCAGGAGAAGCCAAGAACUAGCUCUUACUGUCCUCCAUCUGCAGGACCACAGCGGACACACUUUUUCUCUCAAAUCAGAACCACCAAGAUAGGCACAGAACACCCUGGAACCAGGGAACCUAGUGUAGGCACAUUCUUGUGAAGUAACCGGCCCCAGUGGCAGAGCCCUCUGGAAGUCUCACUUAGACCAGGUGUAAACCAUCAUCUCACUGUUAUCAAUAAACGAUGCUCACAAGCUGGUACAAACUACCAGACACUGCCCUUUGGCCCCUCGGUUGAAAAGCAACACUAUUAAUCAGUACAACUCACACCUUGACUAGGAGUCAAUACUGUCUUGGCACAUCUCUCACUUCAGCAAAACAGCUCAGACCAAUUCCAGGCACGCUGGGAUCAACCCUCAGACCAUAGCUUUUCUUAAAUAAAACUGUGCAACGAAAACACUGACUGAAACUCUGGAUACACGUGCAUGGCUUACCUCUGACUCUUGGUGAACAAGCAUUUUCAUCGGGGAACACCAAACGGAAAUUUUGGAAACUUCAUUAUCCGAGGCAACUCAGACUCUCUAGGAAAGGUUAUGAUCCGCGAGAAGCCGGAAGUCAGAUAACUACCCAUCGGGAAACCUCUCGCGGGACAGCAAGGCCUGCCGCGAGAUGUCGUCGGCCGCCGCUCUGCGCUCGUCCUGCUGGAAACCUGGCCGCGGGAACUCACAGCCCUGUCGUUUUCGUGCGCUUUCCGUCCUACAUCUGGAAUGGAGUGACUGCUGUGGCAAUUCCUGGAGAAGAUUUUUUAAUUGUUGCUUUUGACAGUUUGGUGAAGGAUUUUCAAUUCACAUCUGGCCCCAAAUGUUAUAAAUUAACAGACAAAACAAACAUUGGAUGCGGCGGUUUUCAUGGAGCCUGAGGCUGACAAGCGUUAUUGAAGCAAGACUAAAGAUGUAUACGCAUUCCAGUAUUAAGGCGUGACUAAGGGGGCUGUUGCUGUGAUGCCGUCUACAAUCCUCUCUCCGAGGUGCUUCUUUCCAUACUGUUUGCAACAUCUUCAGGGUGAAGAAGUAAAGGGAGUCAUGUACAGCUUGGACGGUGUCAGGGUAGGGUGUCUGUUGGUUCACGGUCCUGGGAUUUCCCAGGUGAAAUUCAAAACUGGCCUGUGUCCAUGGAGAGCAAGGAGAGACUGAAGACGGAGGCAGACCACUCCAAAUUGAUAGUGAGUUUCUAUUUAUAGAAGUGGCCAAGAAAAAGCUGGCUGUCUGAGAUGUUGGAGAGAGACAGUUUGCAGCCCCUGAGAGGUCGGAAUAGAGGAACCCUAAGCAUAAGAAAAUAGAACCACCACCAUCAUCAAGACAAAAAUUCUGAGAUUCCAUUAUCAAGAAGUAAUCGCCAUGCUGAAGUCUAGUAGGAAAGACUACUUAUUGCUUUCACUGGGAUUUGCCAUUGAACCAGCAAACAAGAACUGAAAAAGAUUUUAACAAGGUGGAAAUGAGAGGACAGUGGAUCUGGGUAAAAUAGAAAACAAACAGAAGACAUCCAGUACAAGAAGACCAUCCGGUUCCAAAGCCAUAUUUUUAAUCACUAUGUUAUUAAGCCAUUCUUAAAAAAGACGUUGUAUGAUACGAAUAUUUGUACAGAAAGUUUGUUCUGCAAGCUAAUGUAUGAAAAAGGACAGGGCGGGGGCUGGCCCCGUGGCUGAGUGGUUAAGUUCGCACGCUCCACUGCAGGUGGCCCAGUGUUUCGUUGGUUCGAAUCCUGGGCGCGGACACGGCACUGCUCAUCAAACCACGCUGAGGCAGCGUUCCACAUGCCACAACUAGAAGGACCCACAAUGAAGAAUAUACAACUAUGUACUGGGGGGCUUUGGGGAGAAAAAGGAAAAAAUAAAAUCUUUAAAAAAAAAAAAGGACAGGGCGGAUACUGGAAGUGGGGAAAUCAGGUUGAUUUGCAAUGAUCAAAGAGAGAGCAUUGAGGGCCUACAACUGUUGUUGCAGUAUGUGUGGACUGAUUGUGAGUACAUUUCAGAGGUAGAGUCAACAGUACUUGACAACUAAAUUGCAUAUGAAAAUAUGAUAAAAGAGAAUGAAGAAGUCAUCUUUGUAGGCAUGGAGGUCUUGCACAAAAUGGCACUAAUAAAAGAAACAGACAAAAUAGAAAUCGGAGCAGGUUUAAAAAGGAUCAAGAUUAUUUAAUUUGGGGGCAGACUAUAUUUGAAAUUCUAAUGGAAUAUACCAGUGAAAACAUCUAGCCAGUUGUUGGAAAUGCAGCAGUAUAUCUCUUGGGGGGAGGUCAGAAUUUGGAAUACCAACGAGGGAGUCAUCUGCAAGGAGGUGAUAUUUAUAGUCAUGAGUUAGGAUAAGAAAAAAAGACAUUAUAUAUGUGGAGAAGUGCUUUCCAUAGAAUAUACAAUUUAGAUGAAAGGUUAAAUUCACUUGAAAG
Equus caballus (horse) is the source of this 2728-nucleotide long non-coding RNA. NCBI's taxonomy places the organism in Eukaryota, Metazoa, Chordata, Mammalia, Perissodactyla, Equidae. The record is from Ensembl.